This 498-nucleotide ribosomal RNA is filed under the name uncultured bacterium. RNAcentral's name for it is "bacterial SSU rRNA". It matches the Rfam family "Bacterial small subunit ribosomal RNA", at positions 28 to 527 of the family's 1533-position model. The record is from RNAcentral.
GAUGAACGCUAGCGGCAGGCCUAAUACAUGCAAGUCGAGGGAGAAGUUGUCUUCGGAUGACGGGAACCGGCGAACGGGUGCGUAACACGUAUGCAAUCUGCCCCUGACUGGAGCAUAGCCCGGGGAAACUCGGAUUAAUACUCCAUAACAUUAUGAAAUGGCAUCAUUUUAUAAUCAAAGUUCCGACGGUCAGGGAUGAGCAUGCGGCCCAUUAGCUUGUUGGUGAGGUAACGGCUCACCAAGGCUACGAUGGGUAGGGGGUCUGAGAGGAUGAUCCCCCACACUGGUACUGAGACACGGACCAGACUCCUACGGGAGGCAGCAGUAGGGAAUAUUGGGCAAUGGACGAAAGUCUGACCCAGCCAUGCCGCGUGCAGGAUGACUGCCCUAUGGGUUGUAAACUGCUUUUCUACGGGAAGAAACACUCAUACGUGUGUGAGCUUGACGUACCGUAGGAAUAAGGAUCGGCUAACUCCGUGCCAGCAGCCGCGGUAAUCG